CACAUACUCAACCCGAUCCACAUC
Molecule: non-coding RNA, 24 nt
Filed under: Arabidopsis thaliana (thale cress)
Lineage: Eukaryota; Viridiplantae; Streptophyta; Magnoliopsida; Brassicales; Brassicaceae
Source: RNAcentral